RNAcentral lists this transfer RNA (84 nucleotides) under Felis catus (domestic cat). It matches the Rfam family "tRNA". From Rfam's summary of the family: Transfer RNA (tRNA) molecules are approximately 80 nucleotides in length. Their secondary structure includes four short double-helical elements and three loops (D, anti-codon, and T loops). The record is from Rfam by way of RNAcentral. Lineage: Eukaryota; Metazoa; Chordata; Mammalia; Carnivora; Felidae.
GCCUGGGUGGCUCAGUCGGUUGAGCAUCUGACUUCAGCUCAGGUCAUGAUCUCGCGUCCGUGAGUUCGAGCCCCGCGUCGGGCU